Molecule: ribosomal RNA, 402 nt
Filed under: uncultured prokaryote
Description: bacterial SSU rRNA
Rfam family: Bacterial small subunit ribosomal RNA
Source: RNAcentral
UGGGGAAUAUUGGACAAUGGGCGCAAGCCUGAUCCAGCCAUGCCGCGUGAGUGAUGAAGGCCUUAGGGUUGUAAAGCUCUUUUAGUGGGGAAGAUAAUGACGGUACCCACAGAAAAAGCCCCGGCUAACUUCGUGCCAGCAGCCGCGGUAAUACGAAGGGGGCUAGCGUUGUUCGGAUUUACUGGGCGUAAAGCGCACGUAGGCGGAUUGUUAAGUCAGGGGUGAAAUCCUGGAGCUCAACUCCAGAACUGCCUUUGAUACUGGCAAUCUCGAGUCCGGAAGAGGUGAGUGGAACUCCUAGUGUAGAGGUGGAAUUCGUAGAUAUUAGGAAGAACACCAGUGGCGAAGGCGGCUCACUGGUCCGGUACUGACGCUGAGGUGCGAAAGCGUGGGGAGCAAACA